CGGAGGGUGCAAGCGUUAGUCGGAAUUACUGGGCGUAAAGGGUUCGUAGGUGGUUUAUUAAGUUAUUUGUAAAAUCCCUGGGCUUAACCUGGGCAGGUCAGAUAAUACUGGUAGACUCGAGUAUGGGAGAGGGUAGUGGAAUUUCCGGUGUAGCGGUGAAAUGCGUAGAGAUCGGAAGGAACACCAGUGGCGAAGGCGGCUACCUGGCCUAAUACUGACACUGAGGAACGAAAGCGUGGGGAGCAAACAGGAUUAGAUACCCUGGUAGUCCACGCCGUAAACGAUGUCAACUAGCUGUUGGUCAUAUUGAUAUGAUUAGUGGCGCAGCAAACGCGAUAAGUUGACCGCCUGGGGAGUACGGUCGCAAGAUUA
Molecule: ribosomal RNA, 372 nt
Filed under: uncultured organism
Description: bacterial SSU rRNA
Rfam family: Bacterial small subunit ribosomal RNA
Source: RNAcentral